Molecule: long non-coding RNA, 394 nt
Organism: Zophobas morio
Lineage: Eukaryota; Metazoa; Arthropoda; Insecta; Coleoptera; Tenebrionidae
Exons: 3
Source: RefSeq, a predicted model, not a curated record
ACCACGUAAUUUAGGUGCAGAGGCGGUCUUGUGGUUUUUAUGAGGCCCUAUCGUUAGUUAUCAGGAAGGAUGUAUGAAUAAAGUCAAAAAAACCGAAGAAGAAUGGAAGAAUAUACUUGGUGUCGAAGAGUAUAGGGUUUUUCGGGAAAAAGGAACUGAAGCGCCUGGCACAGGUAAGUAUAACAAGCACUUCCCCGUCUCUGGUUACUACGCUUGUAAGGCUUGCGGUAAUCCGCUUUACUCGGCAUCCUCAAAGAUUAAAGCUGGGUGUGGAUGGCCAGCGUUCGAUAAAUGUUAUGAAGGGAGCUUUAUUGUUCUAAUCAAAAUUCAUUUUGAUAGUGUGUAAUCUUAGGAAAUAAAUUUAUUAUUACACUUAGGUUCCGUGAAAACGCAG